RNAcentral lists this ribosomal RNA (680 nucleotides) under uncultured bacterium. Its description in RNAcentral is "bacterial SSU rRNA". It matches the Rfam family "Bacterial small subunit ribosomal RNA", at positions 75 to 748 of the family's 1533-position model. The record is from RNAcentral.
AGAGCUUGCUCUCUGGGUGACGAGCGGCGGACGGGUGAGUAAUGUCUGGGAAACUGCCUGAUGGAGGGGGAUAACUACUGGAAACGGUAGCUAAUACCGCAUAACGUCUUCGGACCAAAGUGGGGGACCUUCGGGCCUCACGCCAUCAGAUGUGCCCAGAUGGGAUUAGCUAGUAGGUGGGGUAAUGGCUCACCUAGGCGACGAUCCCUAGCUGGUCUGAGAGGAUGACCAGCCACACUGGAACUGAGACACGGUCCAGACUCCUACGGGAGGCAGCAGUGGGGAAUAUUGCACAAUGGGCGCAAGCCUGAUGCAGCCAUGCCGCGUGUGUGAAGAAGGCCUUCGGGUUGUAAAGCACUUUCAGCGAGGAGGAAGGGUGGUGUGUUAAUAGCACAUCACAUUGACGUUACUCGCAGAAGAAGCACCGGCUAACUCCGUGCCAGCAGCCGCGGUAAUACGGAGGGUGCAAGCGUUAAUCGGAAUUACUGGGCGUAAAGCGCACGCAGGCGGUUUGUUAAGUCAGAUGUGAAAUCCCCGCGCUUAACGUGGGAACUGCAUUUGAAACUGGCAAGCUAGAGUCUUGUAGAGGGGGGUAGAAUUCCAGGUGUAGCGGUGAAAUGCGUAGAGAUCUGGAGGAAUACCGGUGGCGAAAGCGGCCCCCUGGACAAAGACUGACGCUC